RNAcentral lists this ribosomal RNA (27 nucleotides) under Urocleidus similis. RNAcentral's name for it is "partial 5.8S ribosomal RNA". The record is from RNAcentral. Lineage: Eukaryota; Metazoa; Platyhelminthes; Monogenea; Dactylogyridea; Ancyrocephalidae.
CAACUACAGGUGGUGGAUCACUCGGCU